RNAcentral lists this ribosomal RNA (440 nucleotides) under uncultured bacterium. RNAcentral describes it as "bacterial SSU rRNA". It matches the Rfam family "Bacterial small subunit ribosomal RNA", at positions 338 to 795 of the family's 1533-position model. The record is from RNAcentral.
CCUACGGGUGGCAGCAGUGGGGGAUAUUGCACAAUGGAGGAAACGCUGAUGCAGCAACGCCGCGUGAGGGAAGAAGGUCUUCGGAUUGUAAACAUCUGUCCUCAGGGACGAUAAUGACGGGACCUGAGGAGGAGGCUCCGGCUAACUACGUGCCAGCAGCCGCGGGAAUACGGAGGGAGCAAGCGUGGUCCGGAUUUACUGGUUGUACAGGGUGCGUAGGCGGCCCUGCAAGUCAGGUGUGAAAACUAUGUGCUUAACUCAUGCAUUGCACUUGAAACUGUGGGGCUUGAGUGAAGUAGAGGCAGGCGGAUUUCCCGGUGUAGCGGUGAAAUGCGUAGAGAUCGGGAAGAACACCAGUGGCGAAGGCGGCCUGCUGGGCUUUAACUGACGCUGAGGCACGAAAGCGUGGGUAGCAAACAGGAUUAGAUACCCCUGUAGUC